RNAcentral lists this non-coding RNA (29 nucleotides) under Rattus norvegicus (Norway rat). Lineage: Eukaryota; Metazoa; Chordata; Mammalia; Rodentia; Muridae. The record is from RNAcentral.
UAAAAGGAAAUUCAGAGCAAACAGCUUCC